Molecule: long non-coding RNA, 491 nt
Organism: Armigeres subalbatus
Lineage: Eukaryota; Metazoa; Arthropoda; Insecta; Diptera; Culicidae
Exons: 3
Source: RefSeq, a predicted model, not a curated record
GGAAGAGGCAGGAGUGAUCGGAUUUUUAAGUGUCGCGCCGUGAUGUGUGUUUAAAGUUGAGUUAGCUAAAUACGAGUGCUAAGUUGUUCCGUGUAGCUACUAGUUUUGUGCGUGUGUAUAAAUUGUGCAGGUUUGUGGCAUACUGCGAAACCCCACACAUCGCACCCCAAAGUCAACGAUCGCUUCUGACCCCACCGUCAGCUACGAGGGUUUUCCCGGAAGUACGUCGACCGGAAGAGGGCUUGCGUACGUUUCAUCGCGCCCUAGGCAGAGGUUGCAGUCAUCCGCGUUCAUCAUCGAAUUGCGCCAACCACAUAUUAUUCAUCACUGCGACGACCGUACCCGUUCAUCGCCGCCGCGUGAAGCCCACAGACCGGAGGGAAUAUCAUCUGCGUCAACGUCAGCGACGCGAGCUUCAAUCAACGGUGCUCAUCGAAUGAACGACCGAUUGAUUUUCGAUUUCCCUCCACCCCAAGCGUACGCAAAGAAAA